UACGAAGGGGGCUAGCGUUGUUCGGAUUUACUGGGCGUAAAGCGCACGUAGGCGGUUUGUUAAGUCAGGGGUGAAAUCCCGGAGCUCAACUCCGGAACUGCCUUUGAUACUGGCAAGCUAGAGUCCGGAAGAGGUAAGUGGAACUCCUAGUGUAGAGGUGGAAUUCGUAGAUAUUAGGAAGAACACCAGUGGCGAAGGCGGCUUACUGGUCCGGAACUGACGCUGAGGUGCGAAAGACGUGGGGAGCAAACAGG
Molecule: ribosomal RNA, 254 nt
Filed under: uncultured bacterium
Lineage: Bacteria
Description: partial 16S ribosomal RNA
Rfam family: Bacterial small subunit ribosomal RNA
Source: RNAcentral